RNAcentral lists this unclassified non-coding RNA (200 nucleotides) under fungal sp. Its description in RNAcentral is "partial internal transcribed spacer 2". Lineage: Eukaryota; Fungi. The record is from RNAcentral.
UUAAGUUCAGCGGGUAAUCCUACCUGAUCCGAGGUCAACCUUGUGAGAAUUGGGGUUCGCUGGCAAGCUGCCACCCGGAGAUCCGAAGCGAGGUUUAGCUACUACGCUUGGAGCCGGAUGACGCCGCCACUGAUUUUAAGGCCCGCCGGGUGCCGGCGCGGCCCAGUACCAAGCAGGGCUUGAGGGUUGAAAUGACGCUC